Molecule: long non-coding RNA, 234 nt
Filed under: Homo sapiens (human)
Lineage: Eukaryota; Metazoa; Chordata; Mammalia; Primates; Hominidae
Description: HSALNT0202670
Source: RNAcentral
AUAAAUAGAAUGCUUGCCCUUUGCUGUGGUUUUAGUCAACACCUUGGAGAGCAGAGGCAUUCCAAUUAUAAGUGGGAGAUGUAUACGAAUGUUCCAUUGAUGAAAUGGCUUUCCUCACGAUGUGAAAAUUAAAGAAUCCCUGGACCCAAACCCCUUUAAAACCCCCAAACAAGACUCCUGCCACUGCAGGAAGUCAAUUAUCUCCAUGGCAACCAAAACAAAUAGUGAAUAUUG